Small nuclear RNA from Aotus nancymaae (Ma's night monkey), 60 nucleotides. Its record names the gene U7. It matches the Rfam family "U7 small nuclear RNA". From Rfam's summary of the family: Animal histone pre-mRNAs are spliced by a different mechanism than nuclear pre-mRNAs and self-splicing introns. This processing involves the U7 snRNP, which contains only one RNA species: U7. The record is from Ensembl. NCBI's taxonomy places the organism in Eukaryota, Metazoa, Chordata, Mammalia, Primates, Aotidae.
AGGUGUUACAGCUCUUUUAGAAUUUGUCUAGCAGGUUUCCUGGUUUUUACUGAAACCACA